RNAcentral lists this ribosomal RNA (400 nucleotides) under uncultured Glomeromycotina. Its description in RNAcentral is "eukaryotic LSU rRNA". Lineage: Eukaryota; Fungi; Glomeromycota. The record is from RNAcentral.
GAAAAGAACUUUGAAAAGAGAGUUAAAUAGUACGUGAAAUUGUUGAAAGGGAAACGAUUGAAGUCAGUCAUGCUAGUGAAAAAUCAGUUUAACGGGUUUUGAGUUUGGGAGUAGAGGCAGGGUCAAACCGUUUCUCUUUUGAACUUGGGAUUUGUUAGAUGUACUUUUUCUUUGGCAGGUCAGCGUCGAUUUCGGAGGUUGUAAAAUACUUGGGGGAAAGUAGCUCUGCUUCGGGAGAGUAUUAUAGACCCUGGGGGAUGCAGCCUGCGGGAUCGAGGAUUGCAGCAAAUGCCUUUGGCUUGUCGCCUGAUCUCUGGAUGUUACCUCGCUUGUGACAACAUUCUUGCCACCUGUGGGUACUAAUGCCCAUUAGGUUAGAGCGAUCAAAAAUUUUGCUAAG